CGCUGGCGGCGUGCCUAAUACAUGCAAGUCGAACGGCUUUUCUAUGGAAGCUUGCUUCCACUGAGAAGAUAGUGGCGAACGGGUGAGUAACACGUGGGUAACCUGCCCAUAAGAGGGGGAUAACAUCCGGAAACGGGUGCUAAUACCGCAUAGUUUUCUUGGUCGCAUGAUCGGGAAGGAAAGACGGCCUUUGUGCUGUCGCUUAUGGAUGGACCCGCGGCGUAUUAGUUAGUUGGUGAGGUAACGGCUCACCAAGACGAUGAUACGUAGCCGACCUGAGAGGGUGAUCGGCCACAUUGGGACUGAGACACGGCCCAAACUCCUACGGGAGGCAGCAGUAGGGAAUCUUCCGCAAUGGACGAAAGUCUGACGGAGCAACGCCGCGUGAGUGAAGAAAAGGUUUUCGGAUCGUAAAACUCUGUUGUCAGAGAAGAACAAGUUGGAGAGUAACUGCUCCAGCCUUGACGGUAUCUGACCAGAAAGCCACGGCUAACUACGUGCCAGCCGCCGC
RNAcentral lists this ribosomal RNA (511 nucleotides) under uncultured bacterium. Its description in RNAcentral is "bacterial SSU rRNA". It matches the Rfam family "Bacterial small subunit ribosomal RNA", at positions 34 to 518 of the family's 1533-position model. The record is from RNAcentral.